RNAcentral lists this transfer RNA (73 nucleotides) under Sus scrofa (pig). It matches the Rfam family "tRNA". Rfam says of the family: Transfer RNA (tRNA) molecules are approximately 80 nucleotides in length. Their secondary structure includes four short double-helical elements and three loops (D, anti-codon, and T loops). Further hydrogen bonds mediate the characteristic L-shaped molecular structure. tRNAs have two regions of fundamental functional importance: the anti-codon, which is responsible for specific mRNA codon recognition, and the 3' end, to which the tRNAs corresponding amino acid is attached (by aminoacyl-tRNA synthetases). tRNAs cope with the degeneracy of the genetic code in two manners: having more than one tRNA (with a specific anti-codon) for a particular amino acid; and 'wobble' base-pairing, i.e. permitting non-standard base-pairing at the 3rd anti-codon position. Lineage: Eukaryota; Metazoa; Chordata; Mammalia; Artiodactyla; Suidae. The record is from Rfam by way of RNAcentral.
UCCCUGGUAGCCUAGUGGUUAAGGAUCUAGCAUUGUCACUGAUGUGGCUUAGGUUCGUUCCCUGACCUGGGAA